CUACGGGACGCUGCAGUGGGGAAUAUUGCACAAUGGGCGCAAGCCUGAUGCAGCCAUGCCGCGUGUAUGAAGAAGGCCUUCGGGUUGUAAAGUACUUUCAGCGGGGAGGAAGGGAGUAAAGUUAAUACCUUUGCUCAUUGACGUUACCCGCAGAAGAAGCACCGGCUAACUCCGUGCCAGCAGCCGCGGUAAUACGGAGGGUGCAAGCGUUAAUCGGAAUUACUGGGCGUAAAGCGCACGCAGGCGGUUUGUUAAGUCAGAUGUGAAAUCCCCGGGCUCAACCUGGGAACUGCAUCUGAUACUGGCAAGCUUGAGUCUCGUAGAGGGGGGUAGAAUUCCAGGUGUAGCGGUGACAUGCGUAGAGAUCUGGAGGAAUACCGGUGGCGAGGGCGGCCCCCUGGACGAAGACUGACGCUCAGGUGCGAAAGCGUGGGGAGCAAACAGGAUUAGAUACCCCUGUAGUC
RNAcentral lists this ribosomal RNA (464 nucleotides) under uncultured bacterium. RNAcentral's name for it is "partial 16S ribosomal RNA". It matches the Rfam family "Bacterial small subunit ribosomal RNA", at positions 339 to 795 of the family's 1533-position model. The record is from RNAcentral.